GGACCCGCACAAGCGGUGGAGCAUGUGGUUUAAUUCGAAGCAACGCGAAGAACCUUACCAAGCCUUGACAUCCGGGAGAAUGCCGGGCAAUGCCGGCAGCCCUGCGGGGCUUCCGAGACAGGUGGUGCAUGGUUGUCGUCAGCUCGUGUCGUGAGAUGUUGGGUUAAGUCCCGCAACGAGCGCAACCCUUACUUCUAGUAGCCAGCAGCGAGGCUGGGCACUCUAGAGGGACUGCCAGGGACAACCUGGAGGAAGGUGGGGAUGACGUCAAAUCAUCAUGCCCCUUAUGGCUUGGGCUACACACGUGCUACAAUGGCGUAAACAAAGGGAAGCGACCCGCGAGGGUGAGCGAAUCUCAAAAUAACGUCCCAGUUCGGAUUGCAGUCUGCAACUCGACUGCAUGAAGCUGGAAUCGCUAGUAAUCGCGAAUCAGCAUGUCG
RNAcentral lists this ribosomal RNA (440 nucleotides) under uncultured Bacillota bacterium. RNAcentral's name for it is "bacterial SSU rRNA". It matches the Rfam family "Bacterial small subunit ribosomal RNA", at positions 917 to 1359 of the family's 1533-position model. The record is from RNAcentral. Lineage: Bacteria; Bacillati; Bacillota.